Molecule: ribosomal RNA, 440 nt
Filed under: Salmonella enterica subsp. enterica
Lineage: Bacteria; Pseudomonadati; Pseudomonadota; Gammaproteobacteria; Enterobacterales; Enterobacteriaceae
Description: bacterial LSU rRNA
Rfam family: Bacterial large subunit ribosomal RNA
Source: RNAcentral
GUAGAAUGGACCGGCGAGUUACGAUCGUAUGCAAGGUUAAGUGGAAGACACGGAGCCGCAGCGAAAGCGAGUCUGAACAGGGCGUAUCGAGUAUGCGGUCGUAGACCCGAAACCGUGUGAUCUACCCAUGUCCAGGGUGAAGGUCAGGUAACACUGACUGGAGGCCCGAACCCACGUAUGUUGAAAAAUGCGGGGAUGAGGUGUGGGUAGGGGUGAAAUGCCAAUCGAACACGGAGAUAGCUGGUUCUCUCCGAAAUAGCUUUAGGGCUAGCCUCAAGUUAGAGAGUCCUGGAGGUAGAGCACUGAUUGGACGAGGGGCCCUUACCGGGUUACCGAAUUCAGUCAAACUCCGAAUGCCAGCGACUUUUGCUUGGGAGUCAGACGAUGGGUGAUAAGGUUCAUCGUCGAGAGGGAAACAGCCCAGACCGCCAGCUAAGGUC